Molecule: non-coding RNA, 115 nt
Organism: Triticum aestivum (bread wheat)
Lineage: Eukaryota; Viridiplantae; Streptophyta; Magnoliopsida; Poales; Poaceae
Source: Rfam
AAUAUACUCUCUCCGCUCGGAAUUAUUUGUCUCAAAAAUGAAUAUAUCUAGAAUUAAAAUAUGUCUAAAUACAUUCAUUUCUGCGACAAGUAAUUCCGAACGGAGGGAGUACCUU